This 472-nucleotide ribosomal RNA is filed under the name uncultured bacterium. RNAcentral's name for it is "bacterial SSU rRNA". It matches the Rfam family "Bacterial small subunit ribosomal RNA", at positions 355 to 825 of the family's 1533-position model. The record is from RNAcentral.
UGGGGAAUAUUGGACAAUGGGCGAAAGCCUGAUCCAGCCAUGCCGCGUGUGUGAAGAAGGUCUUCGGAUUGUAAAGCACUUUAAGUUGGGAGGAAGGACAGUUACCUAAUACGUGAUUGUUUUGACGUUACCGACAGAAUAAGCACCGGCUAACUCUGUGCCAGCAGCCGCGGUAAUACAGAGGGUGCAAGCGUUAAUCGGAAUUACUGGGCGUAAAGCGCGCGUAGGUGGUUUGUUAAGUUGGAUGUGAAAUCCCCGGGCUCAACCUGGGAACUGCAUUCAAAACUGACUGACUAGAGUAUGGUAGAGGGUGGUGGAAUUUCCUGUGUAGCGGUGAAAUGCGUAGAUAUAGCAAGGAACACCAGUGGCGAAGGCGACCACCUGGACUGAUACUGACACUGAGGUGCGAAAGCGUGGGGAGCAAACAGGAUUAGAUACCCCCGUAGUCCCUGAGCGGGCUGGCAAGGCGCAU